GAUGAACGCUGACAGAAUGCUUAACACAUGCAAGUCUUUGGCGAAGCUGUGCUUGCACAGCCUAGCCAAGGCGGACGGGUGAGUAACGCGUAAGGGACUUGCCCUGCAGUCAGGGAUAACAGACGGAAACGACUGAUAAAACCUGGUAAAGUCAGGCGGACUCAUGUCCAGCCUGAUGAAAAGGAAUGCUGCAGGAGAGCCUUGCGUCCUAUUAGCUUGUUGGUGGGGUAACGGCCCACCAAGGCGAUGAUAGGUAGCCGGCCUGAGAGGGUGGACGGCCACAAGGGGACUGAGAUACGGCCCUUACUCCUACGGGAGGCAGCAGUGGGGAAUAUUGGACAAUGGGGGCAACCCUGAUCCAGCAAUUCUGUGUGCACGAUGAAGGUCUUCGGAUUGUAAAGUGCUUUCAGCAGGGAAGAAAAAAAUGACGGUACCUGCAGAAGAAGCGACGGCUAAAUACGUGCCAGCAGCCGCGGUAAUACGUAUGUCGCGAGCGUUAUCCGGAAUUAUUGGGCAUAAAGGGCAUCUAGGCGGCCGGAUAAGUCUGGUGUGAAAACUUGCGGCUCAACCGCAAGCCUGCCCUGGAAACUAUGCGGCUAGAGUGCUGGAGAGGUGGACGGAACUGCACUAGUAUAGGUGAUAUUCGUAGAUAUGUGCAUGAAUGCCGAUAUGAAAAUAGUUCACUGGACGGCAACUGACGCUGAAGUGCGAAAGCUAGGGGAGCAAACGG
Molecule: ribosomal RNA, 730 nt
Filed under: uncultured Leptotrichia sp.
Lineage: Bacteria; Fusobacteriati; Fusobacteriota; Fusobacteriia; Fusobacteriales; Leptotrichiaceae
Description: bacterial SSU rRNA
Rfam family: Bacterial small subunit ribosomal RNA
Source: RNAcentral